ACGACAAUCUUGUGCCAGCCACCGCGGUCACACAAGAAACCCAAAUUAACGGCCACACAGGCGUAAAGAGUGGAUACCAUGAUAUCAUUACAACUAAGAUUAAAAUGCAAUUGAGCUGUCAUAAGCCCAUAAUGCCCUUAAGGCCUACACAGAACUGAUCUUAGAGCCCAUUGACUAAUUAAGCUCCACGAAAGCUAAGGCCCAAACUGGGAUUAGAUACCCCACUAUGCUUAGCCCUAAAUCUUGAUGUUUACCCUACCAAAACAUCCGCCUGGGAACUACGAGCACAAACGCUUAAAACUCUAAGGACUUGGCGGUGCCCCAAACCCACCUAGAGGAGCCUGUUCUGUAAUCGAUAACCCACGAUAUACCCGACCACCUCUCGCCAGGGCAGCCUACAUACCGCCGUCGCCAGCUCACCUUUUCUGAGAGUGCAAUAGUGAGCACAAUAGCUUCAAUCCGCUAGUAAGACAGGUCAAGGUAUAGCCAAUGGGGUGGAAGUAAUGGGCUACAUUUUCUAGUUAUAGAAAAUCUCUACGAAAGAGUGUGUGAAAUCACACCCGGAAGGCGGAUUUAGCAGUAAAAUGGGAUAAUAAUGCCCGUUUUAAGUUGGCCCUGGGGCACGUACAUACCGCCCGUCACCCUCCUCACAAGCUACCAAUCCCAUAUCAUUAAUGCACUAGCAAGCUGAAGAUGAGGUAAGUCGUAACAAGGUAAGUGUACCGGAAGGUGCACUUAGCACAC
RNAcentral lists this ribosomal RNA (744 nucleotides) under Chionis minor (black-faced sheathbill). Its description in RNAcentral is "partial 12S ribosomal RNA". It matches the Rfam family "Bacterial small subunit ribosomal RNA", at positions 494 to 1526 of the family's 1533-position model. The record is from RNAcentral. Lineage: Eukaryota; Metazoa; Chordata; Aves; Charadriiformes; Chionidae.